This 497-nucleotide ribosomal RNA is filed under the name uncultured bacterium. RNAcentral's name for it is "partial 16S ribosomal RNA". It matches the Rfam family "Bacterial small subunit ribosomal RNA", at positions 28 to 507 of the family's 1533-position model. The record is from RNAcentral.
GACGAACGCUGGCGGCGUGCCUAAUACAUGCAAGUAGAACGCUGAGGCGAGGAGCUUGCUCUUCUGAGGUUAGUUGCGAACGGGUGAGUAACGCGUAGGUAACCUGCCUUUUAGCGGGGGAUAACUAUUGGAAACGAUAGCUAAUACCGCAUAACAAUGUAUAACACAUGGCUUUUAUUUGAAAGGGGCAAUUGCUCCACUACAAGAUGGACCUGCGUUGUCUUAGCUAGUAGGUGAGGUAACGGCUUACCCAGGGGACCAUACAUAGCCGAACUGAGAGGGUGGUCGGCCAACCUGGGACUGGGACACGGCCCCGACCUCCUCGGGAGGGAGCCGGAGGGAAUCCUCGGGCAUGGGGGGAACGCUGAACGAGGCAAGCCGGGGGAGGGAAGAAGGUUCUCGGGUCGGAAAGCUCCGUUGUAAGGGAAGGAAGAGAGGUAUAGUGGACAGUUCACAUCGUGACGGUACCUUAUCAGAAAGGCACGGCUAACUACGUG